UAAACAGAAGCUGAAAGCAGUUGGCUGUUAACCUUCUUAUUGUAGAAAUUUUCUACCUGUUUAAC
Molecule: transfer RNA, 65 nt
Filed under: Neotrigonia margaritacea
Lineage: Eukaryota; Metazoa; Mollusca; Bivalvia; Trigoniida; Trigoniidae
Description: tRNA-Asn
Source: RNAcentral